This 305-nucleotide ribosomal RNA is filed under the name uncultured bacterium. RNAcentral describes it as "bacterial SSU rRNA". It matches the Rfam family "Bacterial small subunit ribosomal RNA", at positions 338 to 640 of the family's 1533-position model. The record is from RNAcentral.
CCUACGGGGUGCAGCAGUGAGGAAUAUUGGUCAAUGGCCGGAAGGCUGAACCAGCCAAGCCGCGUGAAGGACGAAGGUGCCGAGCAUUGUAAACUUCUUUUGUCAAGGGACAAAAUCAGGCUCGAGAGCCUGACCGAGGGUACUUGAAGAAAAAGCAUCGGCUAACUCCGUGCCAGCAGCCGCGGUAAUACGGAGGAUGCGAGCGUUAUCCGGAUUUAUUGGGUUUAAAGGGUGCGUAGGCGGACUGUUACGUCAGUUGUGAAAGUUUGCGGCUCGACCGUAAAAUUGCAGUUGAAAAUGGCAGU